AGUGAACGCUGGCGGUAGGCCUAACACAUGCAAGCCGAACGGCAGCACAGUAAGAGCUUGCUCUUACGGGUGGCGAGUGGCGGACGGGUGAGGAAUACAUCGGAAUCUACUUUUUCGUGGGGGAUAACGUAGGGAAACUUACGCUAAUACCGCAUACGACCUACGGGUGAAAGCAGGGGAUCUUCGGACCUUGCGCGAUUGAAUGAGCCGAUGUCGGAUUAGCUAGUUGGCGGGGUAAAGGCCCACCAAGGCGACGAUCCGUAGCUGGUCUGAGAGGAUGAUCAGCCACACUGGAACUGAGACACGGUCCAGACUCCUACGGGAGGCAGCAGUGGGGAAUAUUGGACAAUGGGCGCAAGCCUGAUCCAGCCAUACCGCGUGGGUGAAGAAGGCCUUCGGGUUGUAAGGCCCUUUUGUUGGGAAAGAAAAGCAGCAGGUUAAUACCCCGCUGUUCUGACGGUACCCAAAGAAUAAGCACCGGCUAACUUCGUG
RNAcentral lists this ribosomal RNA (492 nucleotides) under uncultured bacterium. RNAcentral describes it as "partial 16S ribosomal RNA". It matches the Rfam family "Bacterial small subunit ribosomal RNA", at positions 29 to 507 of the family's 1533-position model. The record is from RNAcentral.